UACGUAGGGUGCAAGCGUUGUCCGGAAUUAUUGGGCGUAAAGAGCUCGUAGGCGGUUUGUCGCGUCUGCUGUGAAAACUCGGGGCUUAACUCCGGGCCUGCAGUGGGUACGGGCAGACUAGAGUGCGGUAGGGGAGACUGGAAUUUACGGUGUAGCAGUGAAAUGCGUAGAGAUCGUAAGGAAGACCAGUGGCGAAGGCGGGUCUCUGGACAGUUCCUGACACUGAGGCACGAAGGCCAGGGGAGCAAACGGG
Molecule: ribosomal RNA, 253 nt
Filed under: uncultured bacterium
Lineage: Bacteria
Description: partial 16S ribosomal RNA
Rfam family: Bacterial small subunit ribosomal RNA
Source: RNAcentral